RNAcentral lists this ribosomal RNA (439 nucleotides) under Myrmeleon hyalinus. Its description in RNAcentral is "bacterial SSU rRNA". It matches the Rfam family "Eukaryotic small subunit ribosomal RNA", at positions 1038 to 1438 of the family's 1831-position model. The record is from RNAcentral. Lineage: Eukaryota; Metazoa; Arthropoda; Insecta; Neuroptera; Myrmeleontidae.
GAUGCCAGCUAGCGAUCCGCCAAAGUUCCUCCGAUGACUUGGUGGGCAGCUUCCGGGAAACCAAAGCAUUUGGGUUCCGGGGGAAGUAUGGUUGCAAAGCUGAAACUUAAAGGAAUUGACGGAAGGGCACCACCAGGAGUGGAGCCUGCGGUUUAAUUUGACUCAACACGGGAAACCUCACCAGGCCCGGACACCGGAAGGAUUGACAGAUUGAGAGCUCUUUCUUGAUUCGGUGGGUGGUGGUGCAUGGCCGUUCUUAGUUGGUGGAGCGAUUUGUCUGGUUAAUUCCGAUAACGAACGAGACUCUAGCCUACUAAAUAGACGUACUUUAUUACCGGCAUCUCAAGGCCCAUCGGCUGUAUUGUUACUGAAUGUUAUUUGUAUAUUUUGUUGAUAUAUAUUUAUUAUAUGUAUGAUUGAUAAUAUGUGUGUAUUAUAU